UAUGAUCAUUUUUAAUCAAGGUGGAGUUUGUUGGGAUUUUGCUUAAAAAUGAGAAUGGUCAUUGUCCCACAUUGGAAAAAUGUUGAAGAGUAGCUUGGAGGCUUGUCUAUAUAAGGGGACUUAAGUUAUGUUUUCAAAUGUAUCAAACCAAAUGUAUUUCUAACACUUUUGUUAGGAGAAAGUACUAAGGUUUAUGUGAUUGUAAGAAUUUUUCACAUAGUGGUCAGUUGUUGUCUUUUGACAACGGUUGUGGUUUUUCCCGGUGAAAGUACUAAGGUUUAUGUGAUUGUAAGAAUUUUUUACAUAGUGGUCGGUUGUUGUCUUUUGACAACGGUUGUGGUUUUUUCCCGGUUUUGGGUUUUCACGUUAA
RNAcentral lists this long non-coding RNA (370 nucleotides) under Nicotiana benthamiana. RNAcentral describes it as "long non-coding RNA (NBEN_LNC014071)". Lineage: Eukaryota; Viridiplantae; Streptophyta; Magnoliopsida; Solanales; Solanaceae. The record is from RNAcentral.